CAAGAAGAGGCAAUAAAAAAACACUAACCUUCACUGCAGAUGUACCUACAAAUGAAUGAAUGAUCCCAAGUUAGUCUCGAGUGUGUGAAGCCGCACAUCUCUGAUGUCCUCGACUAGUGAUCUCACCUAUACCAAAAAUUCGAUAACGGUUCUAAAGGAUACAAACACAUGGGUUUAGAAGGGAGAGACAAAUGUAUGAUGUUACCAUAUACAUGUCUGGAAUAUCAUGACGUGCAGUGCCAAAAAAAGUGCAUUUGCCUCUCCUCUUUAGUGCCACUGCAAGCACAGAGGCACUUGCGUUGGAAUCUGAGGAACGAACCGACCAUAAUCCCCCUGUCACCGGUUCAAAAGUUAAUCAUAUGGUUAACUAAAAAUUUCACCACAUGGUUUCAAGAUUCUAUAAAGCUGUGGAGAGAUUACAGCGAUGAAAUUGAGCGGGUUCAUAUUGGGAACAAUCUCCACCAUUUCGGCUUCUGCCAUGAACUCAACCUGAUGUGAAAUGCUAAAAUCAAUUACAUCAUUGCAGACAGUAAACGAAGAAACAAUAUACAAACAAAGGGGAGGAGGAGGAGAAGAACCUGGUUCGAUAUUUUGAUUGAACCAACCUCAAACCAAAAAUUGUGAACCAAACAAAAUUUAAACCUGAUUCUUCACACGAGAGAUGUGGCAUGUGUUUGCUGUGUUUUCUUAAAGAAUCAAAACUCUUUUGUGUUGAUGGCUUUUUCACGUCAUGAUUACAUAUACAGCUAAUUGUUGCUUCAAAUUUAGUAACAAAGAAUCUUAGUAUAAAUGAAACAGUUGAGAGACUAUACAGCCGAUGAUGUGCUGAACGAAACUGAUCAAAGCAAGAACGAAACUGAUCAAAGCAAGAACGGAGCAUUUAGAAGUUUCCAUAGGUAUCUCAGUGAGGGAAAAGAUUCUGAUUCCGGAUAGGAUGAAGGGUCAUUAGUUGAAUUGACAUGUAGCUAACUACUACCAAUACAACGUUGCUUGCAGCUCAAGGAAACAGUGAUGGAGUGGUUUAACAAGAAAAGUCAGUCCCCUUGGGACAAAAGUUGGUAGAAGUGAGGCCUCACAAUACGGCUUACGUUAUCUCACUUGUGGGAAAGGGUAAACAAUCAUAAGAGAAUGUAAUUAUUACAGGACCACUUUGUCUGGACCGACCAUAUUACACAACAUCACCAAUGUUAAAUAAAACAAAGAAAAGCUAAACUUUGUCAGGGACCAAUCUCAUCCCAGUUGAGUCAUUUACAAAAUGCCAAAGCAGAAAGAAAGAAAAACAACAAAUGUACUUGCGAGAAAAGGCGAGAAUUAAAAAGACAAUUAAUCUUU
Long non-coding RNA from Brassica rapa (field mustard), 1332 nucleotides. RefSeq lists it as uncharacterized. NCBI's taxonomy places the organism in Eukaryota, Viridiplantae, Streptophyta, Magnoliopsida, Brassicales, Brassicaceae. The record is from RefSeq and is a predicted model, not a curated record.